UGUAUUGUUUGCUUUGUUAUCUCUGAUCUUUU
This 32-nucleotide small RNA is filed under the name Arabidopsis thaliana (thale cress). RNAcentral's name for it is "ATSL019930". Lineage: Eukaryota; Viridiplantae; Streptophyta; Magnoliopsida; Brassicales; Brassicaceae. The record is from RNAcentral.